Molecule: long non-coding RNA, 391 nt
Filed under: Setaria viridis
Lineage: Eukaryota; Viridiplantae; Streptophyta; Magnoliopsida; Poales; Poaceae
Description: long non-coding RNA (SVIR_LNC001635)
Source: RNAcentral
UAAACACAUGACCGUUUUGGUUGAUAGACCCAUCAGUGAGUAAUCUCCGUAAUCUUUUUUCUCUUCUGUUGGGGCCUAUAUUCCGAUGCCCCAUCCUGCACUGGCUCUUGCCUGAUAGGUUCAAACUUGGUGUCUCAGCGGCCUGUAAUUGCUAUUCUCGGAAACCUUUCCAAGUCUUUCGAAGAAAAACUUGCGAGCAAGGCUGAGUUGAUACAGGCAAGAUCAUGGGCACCACUUGCAGCCACACAAAAGCAUCUUGUCACGCUCACGGCUCACGCACCCAACCAAUCAACAACUCUCCCCAUCCUAUCCCAAGCCAUAUGUAAACCAAUCAAACAUGCCUUCAUGCUUCUAUACUAACCACGAUAAGCCUGAAUCUCCUCACCAUCCG